AGAGUAUUUUUGUCCAUGUGGCAGAAAACAAUAGAAAGAGCACUGGUGUUGGAGUCAGAAAACUGGCCUCUGUCCUCAGAUGAGAUGUGUCAUCAUGUGAAUCUGAGUUUCCUUGUUUGCAAAUGGAUAGGAUUCUCUGCCCCUCAUAGGAUGUUGUAGGAAUCAAACGCAAAUGAGAUGAUGCCUCUGAACAUUCUCCACACAUGGAAACUGCUAGUUAUAAUAGUUAUCGAGUGCCUUCUUGAUGCGAGGCGUUAGUUCUAAGAACUUCACAUGAAUCAACUCAUUUCAUCUUUAUCACAACACUGUGAGAUACUGUGAGAUACCUGUGGCGCUGUUAGUACCCUCACUUCUAGAUGAGGCAACUAAGAUACCAGCCCAAGACCACUCAGCCAGGAACUGGAAGCCCUCAGAUACAAGCCAAACAGUCUAGCUAUUGCUGAGCCUACACUGCAGCGACCGCCCAUGUGCUCCUGAGUGUCACUGUCGCACCACUGAAUGCAACGUACUCAAGCCUGUCAGUGUUUGGGUGGACGGUGGGGUGCUAUUGGCAUUGACGUCAGACCAAAGGCUGAUUUCAAAACUUGUACCAGGCCCGCGAUUAUUGCUUAUGUUUGUCUGAAGCCAUUGGUAGGAAUGUUUCUUCAGAUUUGUGACCCAUGACGCUGUCACAGAAGGGGAAACUAAGGCUGAGAGGUGAAGAGCCUUAGACCGUGGUCACCUAGCUAGGAAGUAAAGUAGCAUGGGUGGGAUUUGAACCAAGUCCCCAGAACCCACGUAUUUGCCCUCACAGCAGGCCACCUCUUCUUGUCUGUGCAUCCUGCUUAGAGCCUGGGACAGGGCAGGCUGGACACUGGGACAACGUGAAGAACAUAUUUUUCUCUUGCCACUCGAGGUUCCACAUGAAGAAAAAGCAAUCAUUUUUGUUUUGUUUUUAUUUACUCUGAGAGAGAGAUAGAGAGUAAGUGGGGGAAGGGCAGAGAGAGAGGAAGAGACAGAAUUCCAAACACCAGUGCUGACAGCACAGAGCCUGAUGUGGCGCUCGAACUCACAAACCGCGAGAUCACGACCUGAGCCGAAAUCGAGAGUCAGACGCUCAACCGACUGAGCCCCCCGGGCGCCCCAAAAGUAGUAGUUGAAUGAUAUGGCUAUGGCAAGGCAGACAGACCAUUUUGGAGGACAGGUUACUGUCCUGGAAGGGAAGAUGCAGACAGGACUCAACAGUGGGGGCCGGGUCAAGGGGGCGUGCAGUGAUCAGAGGGCAUCAGAGGACACGGGAGGCGAACUUGGCCUAUUCCUCAGGCCAGCCUGGUGUUGAGAAGAGGUUUGAAAUGAGUGUGUUUACCUUGCCACGGCCCUUCCUGCAAGGCAGCGUGGCCCUGGUGAACAUAGCAGUGUGGCUCCUCAGAUGGGAUCUGGUCUCUGGGCUCACCUCGGUAUGUCUACAAGUCCCAUACGCUGUGGCUCAGAAGGAUGGAAACACGUUUUUCUUUGAAUGGACAGGUCCACACCCCACCCAUGCUAUUUAAAAUCAGAGUGGGCCAAAACAGCACGCUGGGAUCCCAAACCCCAGUGGUUUUCAUUCUGGCCCCCGAAUCCAGGGGAAUGAUUUCCAAAACCUCUUUCAGUUGCCCAAACAUGGCGUCCACCUUAAACCAUCUAAAGAUGUUCAGAAUAGCCCCAGACGGGAGCCCAGAGCAUUUGGGGCAACUUGGGAGCUCAACUGAGUCACAGCUUUGACUUCUUUUAGGUCAAGACUAUUCAUCUAAAUAAGGCACAAGAGAAGCUGGUGUUUUAAGCUGUCAGGACAGACGAAAAUAGCUCCCCAGCCUCCCUGGAGUCUGCCUUUCCACCUCAGCACCUGACACAGAAGUCACCAGGCCUGCAGCCAGAGAUCUGUAAUCCAAACUGUGGUGAAGGGGAAUAACCGCCAAGGAGGCUCCUCUGUUAGCUUUGGAUCGCCAAGUGAGGACGGGCCUCUGGCCGCCGGACUCUGGCUUGGCCCACAGACCUCAAAUGUCUGAGACGGGAACGAUGACAUGUGUGGGGCUCUGAUCACCAGCCUCGGAGGGCACUCGCUGACCAAACGGGAUGGCGUGCCAUGAGCCGUGGGCGUGGGGGAGGCCUGGGUCUGGCCGGUGAACAACAGUAGCUGCCUUUUCUGGAGCACCUGCCUGGUAGAGAUUUACAUUAGAGACUCCUUGCUAAGGUCAGGUUGGACAGAGGAACCAUCCUGAGCAGAGGAACAAAUUGGAGACCAAGAGUGGCUCUCCUGAUUCAGCUCCGUGAGGACAGCACUAAGUCUGUCCCCUUCACUGUCCUUCCCGACACUCAAACAGUGCCCAGCCCAGGGUAGAAAUAGCACAUUGUUACUGAGUGGACUCGACCUCCCCUCGUGGGGCUAUUGGCGUCAGAGUACUUUCUUGGAAAUACCGGACACGUCAGCCCCCGUUCUGUGGAGAAACGUUAGUUCUUUAGUUUCUCUAUCUGUAAAAUGGGCGUAAGGCUCCCCUGCCUCUUUCCCAUGGUUGCUGCAAUGAAUGCGGGAAAUAUCUGAAGUCUGGAAGCAUCUUAUAAGCGUAAGGGGUCAGGACCGUUGCCGAUGAGGGAACCUCUGCUCAGAUCUGUUGUCCCCGACGUUGAAAGCAGUCAGAACCUGAAAGCAUGUCAGAGAUUCGAGAUGCCCUUUCGAUUGUGAAAGAUGGUAUACUAAAGGACUUUCUCACCUUCGGGUUUCCAUUAUAGCGCUGCACUGUGGCCACCCCUGCGAUGACAGUGUUGGAUUCACAUCCACCAGAGGGACAACCAACCACCAUUAUGAAGAAAUCCAAGCCCAGAGACUUCAAGUAACUUUCCCAAGAUCACCAGCAGACACCGGGGAUUUCUCCAGCAGCAAAGAGGAAGAAGCAAAGAGGUGUGUAACAGGUUGGAGCCAUCUAUAAGCUGCCAUCCGGGACAGCCGGCUGCACCUGAAGUAAAUGAGAUCAAUGAAAGGAACCGAGGUGUGCCCACUGCCAGGGAUAAACUGGAAUGACCAAGUGGUUAAGGUUAGUUUGCAGCAAUCACACGGGAGCUGAGCCCUCCAAACCACUGCUGUUCUUUUCAAAGGAAGCACCUUGGAGGACUCCACUUCCUGCACUGGGCGUCGCAACCUGGCACAUCGGAACCACUGGGAAACUUUAAUACACUGAUGCCGGGCCCGACCUGCCAAGAUUCAAUUGAGUUGGGCAGGCAGGGCCAAGGCAUGGGGAUUUUUCACAUCUCACCGGGCGGUUCUAACAUGCAGAGGGUUGAGAAUCACCGCCCUGGGCCGAGCCUUUUGGGAACUCUUCCUGUAGAAAUGCCUUCAAAGUCUGUGGCACUUUCCUUUGAAUCUUAUCAAUAGUAACCAAUCUUCUUCCUUUAAAGAUAGAUUGGGGUUUUUGAAAAACAGGCGAAGUCAUUCAGAGCUGGACCUGUGGAGUAAGAACGAGAUACUCUUCUUUGUCCCAAAUAAGAUGAGAAACCUCAAAAAUGCACCUGGAUCCCAUGUGUGGCUCUGCAGGGGGUUUCAAAGGCAAUAAUGCACUAAGCACCUGCCAUACGCCAGGGGCGGGGCUGGGGCCAAAGCUGUCAAGAUCAGAGCUGGUCCUCCGGGUGAGUGGGAACCAGGACCCAGGCCUUGGAUUCCCUGUCACUAGGGCUUGCUCACACUGGCCUCCCUUUGAGGGACUUUGCCAAAUGCCCCAUCCCUCUCCUGCCACAUGGAGUUGUGGCAUCUAAACGCUCCUGGUUUCUGGGGCAAAGAUGCUCUGCAACCAACAUCUCACCAAGCUACAUUUGAUCCUGAGCUGUGGCCUGAGGUUGAGGGUGGGCGACUUCCCAUCCCUUCCUCUGUGCCCACCCAUAGAUGCCACAGGCCCUGCCCAUCUUGCCUCAUCCCUUGAUGGAGUCUUCCCAGAAGUAGGUUCCAGAAUGGGAAUCAAGGUGUCAGGAAUAAAACUCUGGGACACAAUGACAAAGGGAAAGGGAGGACCUGACUUAGCCUUUCUUAGUAAUGCCAUGGUUUUUUUUUUCCCAAAGAAUUGUGGGUUUUGUUUGUUUGUUUGUUUUAAUGUUUAUUUAUUUUUGAGAGAGAGAGAGCACAAGCAGG
Long non-coding RNA from Felis catus (domestic cat), 4132 nucleotides. RefSeq lists it as uncharacterized. NCBI's taxonomy places the organism in Eukaryota, Metazoa, Chordata, Mammalia, Carnivora, Felidae. The record is from RefSeq and is a predicted model, not a curated record. The transcript is spliced from 3 exons.